Non-coding RNA from Cricetulus griseus (Chinese hamster), 561 nucleotides. Lineage: Eukaryota; Metazoa; Chordata; Mammalia; Rodentia; Cricetidae. The record is from Rfam.
CAGGGAAGAGCCCAGCCCCAAUCCCCACUGCAUGGCAUGGGCAAUGUGGCAUACAGAAGACCCACUCCCCAGUGCCACUCGUGGAGGGCCUAAGUCCUUCUGAUCAAGGCCCAGCCCAUGGAUGGUGUGAGACCAGAAGUGACCCCUGUCCCUCUGGGCCUGGGUCUUCUGGGUGUUGGUUUGUUUGGGAAUGCAGUUCAAAGUGGAUGGUAAACUCCAUCUAAUUACCAGCCUGAGACCAAUAGCCAGCAAGUACCAUAAGGGAAAGUUGAAAAGAACUUUGGAGAGAGACUUUAAGAGGGCAUGAAACCAUUAAGAGGUAAAUGGGUGGAGUCAGGAGAAGCAAGCCAGAUGCUGAGAGAGCAAGAUGGGCACAGUAUACUGAGAAAAGGUACUGCCACAUGGCAGAGCAUAAAUAAGGAAUAUGGGUUAACUUAAAAUGUAAGAUCUAGUUAAUAAUAAACCUGAGCUCUUGGCUGAAUAUUUAUAAGUAAUAUUAAGCCUCUGUGUGAUAAUUUGGGAAGUGGCUGCUGGGUAUUUGGGACCAAGCGGCUCUGAAAC